GUCUACAGCCAUGCUGCCCUGAACACACCCAAUCUCGUCUGAUCUUAGAAGCUAAGCAGAGUUGGGCCUGGUUAGUACUUGGAUGGGAGAGAAACAUGUUAGCUUUCUAGC
Molecule: ribosomal RNA, 111 nt
Filed under: Erinaceus europaeus (western European hedgehog)
Lineage: Eukaryota; Metazoa; Chordata; Mammalia; Eulipotyphla; Erinaceidae
Source: RNAcentral